AACGUAAGAGACGAACGUUAUCCGGAGUUACUGGGCGUAAAGGGCGUGUAGGCGGUUUGUUAAGUCUGGCGUGAAAGCUCUCGGCUAAACCGGGAGAGGUCGUUGGAUACUGGCGAACUAGAGGAUGGUAGAGGCGUGUGGAGUUCCGGGUGUAGUGGUGAAAUGCGUAGAGAUCCGGAGGAACACCAGUGGCGAAGGCGACACGCUGGGCCAUACCUGACGCUAAAGCGCGACAGCAUGGGGAGCAAACGGG
RNAcentral lists this ribosomal RNA (253 nucleotides) under uncultured bacterium. RNAcentral describes it as "partial 16S ribosomal RNA". It matches the Rfam family "Bacterial small subunit ribosomal RNA", at positions 524 to 776 of the family's 1533-position model. The record is from RNAcentral.